GCGGGCAGGCACCUCGCCAACCCGGUCAGGUCCGGAAGGAAGCAGCCGUAACGAGCCACGCUUGGGUCGUUGUCCAGCCUCU
Molecule: signal recognition particle RNA, 82 nt
Filed under: uncultured Roseovarius sp.
Lineage: Bacteria; Pseudomonadati; Pseudomonadota; Alphaproteobacteria; Rhodobacterales; Roseobacteraceae
Description: Bacterial small signal recognition particle RNA
Rfam family: Bacterial small signal recognition particle RNA (bases 1-70)
About the family: The signal recognition particle (SRP) is a universally conserved ribonucleoprotein involved in the co-translational targeting of proteins to membranes. Archaeal SRP consists of a 7S RNA and homologues of the eukaryotic SRP19 and SRP54 proteins. In most bacteria, the SRP consists of a 4.5S RNA and the Ffh protein (a homologue of the eukaryotic SRP54 protein).
Source: RNAcentral